GAUUUACCACAGAGUGCCAUAUAUUUGUAUUUCUUCAUAAUUGAUGUAAAUAAAGCUCAAGACAUAUUCACUGACUUGGAAAUGUUCAUGUAUCCAUCCCCUGACUUGUCUGAAGAGAACUGCCAAUAAAACUGAUUGUUUACAUUACAGCAUUUCAUUAUGCAACCCAUCAUCUUGGCUUUUAUAUUUUUGAUUAAUUUAUAUCAAGUUGCAGAGAUUUACUUUGAGUUUAAGAUAAUUUUAAUUUUUUAUUUUUUUAUAUUUGAAAUGGCACAAAUUAAAACGUGUGAAAUACCAAGUGUUCCAAUAGUUUUGGAGGGCACUGUAGCUCUUUGAGAAUAUUGAGUGAAGUCAAGUAAAACCACAAUUACAACAAAUUAAAUUCACUUGAAUUUAAAUCCGCUUUAAAAAUAUGCUGCCAAAUAGUGUGGCUGGCCUUUUGGUGAA
This is a long non-coding RNA of Thalassophryne amazonica, 447 nucleotides long. RefSeq lists it as uncharacterized. The transcript is spliced from 3 exons. Lineage: Eukaryota; Metazoa; Chordata; Actinopteri; Batrachoidiformes; Batrachoididae. The record is from RefSeq and is a predicted model, not a curated record.